AGCCGAGUAGCUCGAAUUUAUACCUAGUUAAGUUAUAUUACCCAUCCUACCCCACUAAUAUAUGUUAUUCCUAUCCUACCCCCAGUAUAUAUCAACAUAACACCAUAAGUUUCUGCUAGAAACCUAGCCGUCCCUUCUCCUUCUUCUUCUCAAACUCAAUCUAACCAUCUUCAUCUCCAGUAAUUAAAUUUUCCAAGCUUCAUACUUCAGCAGCAGCAGCAGCAAAGCUUUAGCUUCACAUAGAAAUCUCUCUCUCUCUCUCUCUCUCUCUCUCUCUCUCUCUCUCUCUCUCUCUCUCUCUCUCUCUCUCUCUCUCUCUCUUUUUUGCUUUCAACAACUAUUUCAACAGGUUAGAAAAUUUCUCUUGAUAUUGAUUGUUUUUUACAACAAGUUAUAGUGAAAUUAAUUUGUUAAUUGAAUGUUUUUAGAAGAAAAGAAGUGAAGUGAUGCGGGAAAUUGUAACAAUUCAAGCUGGAGAUUUUGCAAACUUUAUUGAUUCUCACUUUUGGAAUUGAACAAAAAAAUCAAAUUUUCUGAUUCCGAUUCUGCUUCUUCAAGCGAUGAUGAAGAGUCUGGUCAGCCAAAAGAGGAAGAUGCAAAUAACAAAAACCAAACAAAUGAAGACGGGGAGAAACAACAUUUAGAGACAGAUCUGCCAAAAUGUGUGAAUGUAGUCAACGAUGAGCCUAAGAACAAGUCCAUUGAUAAGCUAAUUGAUGACGAGCUCAGAGAGUUGAAAGACCGCAGCAAGGUGAGAUGGAAAAAAGUUUGUGAUUGAAAUUAUUGGACCACAUAAAGUUGGUUAGAUUGAAGAUGGUUAGAUUGAAGAUGGUCAGAUGUUUGAUUUUUUGGUCACUAGAUAGCAGCUGCACGACUUUCUCAGAUAGAAGAAGGGUUCGAGCUUGAUUCGAGCUAAUCGAGUUUGGA
Molecule: long non-coding RNA, 927 nt
Filed under: Aquilegia coerulea
Lineage: Eukaryota; Viridiplantae; Streptophyta; Magnoliopsida; Ranunculales; Ranunculaceae
Description: long non-coding RNA (ACOE_LNC001183)
Source: RNAcentral